Molecule: ribosomal RNA, 460 nt
Filed under: uncultured bacterium
Lineage: Bacteria
Description: partial 16S ribosomal RNA
Rfam family: Bacterial small subunit ribosomal RNA
Source: RNAcentral
CCUACGGUGGGCUGCAGUGAGGAAUAUUGGUCAAUGGACGCAAGUCUGAACCAGCCAUGCCGCGUGCAGGAUGACGGCUCUAUGAGUUGUAAACUGCUUUUGUACGAGGGUAAACCCCGAUACGUGUAUCGGUUUGCAAGUAUCUUACGAAUAAGGAUCGGCUAACUCCGUUCCAGCAGCCGCGGUAAUACGGAGGCUCCGAGCGUUCUCCGGAUUUAUUGGGUUUAAAGGGUGCGUAGGCGGUUUGAUAAGUUAGAGGUGAAAUGUCGGGGCUCAACCCCGUAACGGCCGCUAAUACUGUUGGACUAGAGAAUAGUUGCGGUAGGCGGAAUGUAUGGUGUAGCGGUGAAAUGCUUAGAGAUCAUACAGAACACCGAUUGCGAAGGCAGCUUACCAAACUAUAACUGACGUUGAGGCACGAAAGCGUGGGUAGCGAACAGGAUUAGAUACCCGGGUAGUC